GCCGAGCUCAGUAAUGUGAGCUUGUAAUCCAAAUGGAGGCAUCAAAGUGGUCGAAAGCGGGUUCAGCCCAUCGGGUAGGGUUUCUUCGGAUAUUAUCCUGGCCCGCCCAUUCCAAGUAGGAAGCUGGGCCUUGGGCUUUGGGCGAAGGCCUUGAGUCCAUUGCCUAUAGAGUGGGGGAUACCGCGUAAGGCUGGUCUCACAGAGCAGCGUUACCCCCCGCUUCUGUCGGUGGAAGGAUUACGGGCCGGUUCCCUCGGGCCCAUUGAUACUCGAUGAGUAGGCCUCUGCCUAACAGCCACAUUU
This 303-nucleotide signal recognition particle RNA is filed under the name Cucumis sativus (cucumber). RNAcentral's name for it is "SRP RNA Plant_SRP". It matches the Rfam family "Plant signal recognition particle RNA". The record is from Rfam by way of RNAcentral. Lineage: Eukaryota; Viridiplantae; Streptophyta; Magnoliopsida; Cucurbitales; Cucurbitaceae.